Molecule: ribosomal RNA, 291 nt
Filed under: uncultured Anaerolineaceae bacterium
Lineage: Bacteria; Bacillati; Chloroflexota; Anaerolineae; Anaerolineales; Anaerolineaceae
Description: partial 16S ribosomal RNA
Rfam family: Bacterial small subunit ribosomal RNA
Source: RNAcentral
CGGUAAGUCCGCUAACGAGCGCAACCCUCGCUGUGUGUUACAAGUGUCACACGGAACUGCCGGUCAUAAACCGGAGGAAGGUGGGGAUGACGUCAAGUCAGCAUGGCCUUUAUAUCCUGGGCUACACACACGCUACAAUGGGAAGGGACAAUAGGUUGCGAAGCCGCGAGGUGGAGCCAAUCCAGCAAAAUUCCCUCAGUUCAGAUUGCAGGCUGCAACUCGCCUGCAUGAAGUUGGAGUUGCUAGUAAACGCAGGUCAGCCAUACUGCGUUGAAUACGUUCCCGGGGCUU